GUUUUAUUAUUAUUCCCAUACCUUAAGUUUUCCCUCAUUCUAUUCCACAGACGCCUCCCUCCGUCACUGCGUCUCUCACUUCACUCCAUUUCCAGGUCUAGUCAUCGGUCCACUUCUGCAGCCCACGCUCAAUUACUCUUGCGAGGCUAUAUUGAACUUCAUAAAAGAAGAUGGCUCCUCAAGGUAAAGAUGGUCCAGCGGGUACUGCAGCGGAGAAGGGUAAAACAAGAAAGAAAACAAAAGUUUCUAGUAACUUAGGAAAAUGCUAAAGGAAGACCAGUUACUCAUGAUGAGGUAUUUGAGGAAACCCACAUGAAGAAGUUGAAGGAUGGAACAAAAACGACUUGGAUCGAGCCGCGCGCCGAGACAACCCAUGACAAUUUCAAACAAAUCUUGGAGGAGUUCAUUCAAAGCUAGCCGAUUGAUGAUCAAGGUAGGCCAAUCCAACCAACCCAGGAGGAGAUCAUGGAUACGUGGAUUAAGGCAGCUAGUGGCGUGCAUAAGGGGAGAGUCUACGGCCUUGGAUCAGAGUUUAGUCUCGGCCGUCGUACUUCUGGAUUGUCUGGUUCUUAUUCUUCGUCACAUUGCUCGGUUGAUCUAGAUGAGUUUGAGCAAUUGAAUAGGAAGGUAGCGAAGAUUACGGAGUUGUAUCUUCAAGAAAGGGCUGCAAGGGAAGAUGCAUUAAGACUUGUCACUCGUGUGUUAAAAGUCUCAAGUGUCAGAUAAACUCCCUCUUAGCAUCUGGCGCAUUUCCUGUGCCUCGUUCUCCAGCAUCUGAUGAUAACUAAGGAGUAGUUUCUUUUAUUAGUUUGUUUUGGAUGGUACUUGGAUGUUGAAUAUUCAAUGUUGGAUUUUUUGAGUUUUUGUUCUACUUUUGGAUUAAUUAUGAAAUGGAUUGAUUAGUUGUUUAUAAAAUGAAUUGGAUGGCAUGUUGAAUUAGGUAUUUGAA
Nicotiana tabacum (common tobacco) is the source of this 949-nucleotide long non-coding RNA. RefSeq lists it as uncharacterized. NCBI's taxonomy places the organism in Eukaryota, Viridiplantae, Streptophyta, Magnoliopsida, Solanales, Solanaceae. The record is from RefSeq and is a predicted model, not a curated record.